UUGAACGCUGGCGGCAGGCCUAACACAUGCCAGUCGAGCGGAUGAAGGGAGCUUGCUCCUGGAUUCAGCGGCGGACGGGUGAGUAAUGCCUAGGAAUCUGCCUGGUAGUGGGGGAUAACGUCCGGAAACGGGCGCUAAUACCGCAUACGUCCUGAGGGAGAAAGUGGGGGAUCUUCGGACCUCACGCUAUCAGAUGAGCCUAGGUCGGAUUAGCUAGUUGGUGGGGUAAAGGCCUACCAAGGCGACGAUCCGUAACUGGUCUGAGAGGAUGAUCAGUCACACUGGAACUGAGACACGGUCCAGACUCCUACGGGAGGCAGCAGUGGGGAAUAUUGGACAAUGGGCGAAAGCCUGAUCCAGCCAUGCCGCGUGUGUGAAGAAGGUCUUCGGGUUGUAAAGCACUUUAAGUUGGGAGGAAGGGCAGUAAGUUAAUACCUUGCUGUUUUGACGUUACCAACAGAAUAAGCACCGGCUAACUUCGUG
Molecule: ribosomal RNA, 483 nt
Filed under: uncultured bacterium
Lineage: Bacteria
Description: partial 16S ribosomal RNA
Rfam family: Bacterial small subunit ribosomal RNA
Source: RNAcentral